This 441-nucleotide ribosomal RNA is filed under the name uncultured bacterium. RNAcentral describes it as "bacterial SSU rRNA". It matches the Rfam family "Bacterial small subunit ribosomal RNA", at positions 338 to 795 of the family's 1533-position model. The record is from RNAcentral.
CCUACGGGCGGCUGCAGUGAGGAAUAUUCCUCAAUGGCCGAAAGGCUGAAGGAGCGACGUCGCGUGAUUGAUGAAGUCCUUCGGGAUGUAAAGAUCUUUUCUUAGGGACGAAUUUUGACGGUACCUAAGGAAUAAGAGGUUGCUAACUCUGUGCCAGCAGCAGCGGUAAUACAGAGACCUCAAGCGUUAUCCGGAUUUAUUGGGCGUAAAGCGUCCGCAGGUGGUUUGUUAAGUUUCGUUUCAAAUCCAAGUGCUUAACAUUUGGACCGGACGGAAAACUAACAAGCUAGAGGACGGGAGAGGCAAGCGGAAUGGCCGGUGUAGGGGUCAAAUCCGUUAAUAUCGGCUAGAACACCAAAGGCGAAGGCAGCUUGCUAGAACGUUCCUGACACUAAUGCACGAAAGCGUGGGUAGCGAACAGGAUUAGAUACCCUAGUAGUC